This is a long non-coding RNA of Gallus gallus (chicken), 3899 nucleotides long. NCBI's taxonomy places the organism in Eukaryota, Metazoa, Chordata, Aves, Galliformes, Phasianidae. The record is from Ensembl.
UUAGGUUUUCUGAGGUAGCAGUGUAGUCUGUGGAAGAGAACUAAAUUUAUGAGGAUGCUGACAGUAAUGUAAGAAAUCUGACAGUAUUCACCAUCCUGUCCUGCUGUAAAGGAGACCAUUUUCAAAAUUAUUCCAAAAUUUGUGUGAUGAAGGAGGAACAUGAGAAGGGGAAAAAGUACUUUCAUGCAAAUUUGUUACGCAACGUGGACAUCCACUUUCUCAUGAGAAAAGGAGGUACCACCACGGGCUUACAGUAACCAAGGAAGGACCCUUUGACAGCGAGCUGCUGCCGCUGAGAGGAGGUCCUGCGGAGGAGAGAAGCUGAGGGCUGCAGCGGUGCGCAACGUAGGGCAGCCGAGGGCUCACUGCCCCCUCUGAGGUUCAAAUUAAUGCAGCUGAUACUGAUUCAACGAAACGGGAUCUGAUGAGCUACAGCAGAAACGGGUCGGCGUUGUUCCCCUGCUCGUUCUGUCGACUGCCGGCAGGUGGCUGUCGGGCUCAGGGAAUGGUUUCAGCUGCAGUCCGGUAGUGCUGCCGGGCGAGGCGUGAUACCGGCACCGCUGUGACUUAAAUUCCUGCAAGGAGACUAACUACUGACCCACAGUACUGACCAUGAUCACAUUUUAUGGCAGCUUUUGCACAACUGUAAAUGCAUUUUCCUGAUCGUGAUUCAGUGAAAUGUCAAAUAUUUUAACGAGCCUAAAAAUAUGUGGUGCUGAUCCUUCACUCCUCAUUUUUCUGCAGCUUGAAUUAAUACCGUGACAGACACUCUGUGUUUCAGUAUUGGUACAGACAUUAAUCUGUUAUGCUCUGCUUGAAAGCAGCUGGCUGAUCAAUGCAGGUGGAAGUUGCUAUGCAUGCCUUGGGUUAUUAUCUUGGCACUAAUAAUCUUUAUGCCUGUAGAUAAUGUAGUGUUUGUGAAAUAGCUUAUUGAUCAGAACUGACCAUUCCUAUUCCCCUAACUCCUCCUGUUAGACACUUACCUUCUUUUGAUUCUUUUAAUAUAGGGAAAUGCACGUGGAGUUGGUGGGAGAAUGGAGAAGACUUACAUUAGGUGGAGAUCUCAAGGUAGCGCAGCCAUGGUGGUGGCAGUAUACAGGGAGAUAAUUCAAGCAUUAACAAGUUCAAAGUAAUAUUUUAAGAUCAUGACUUACAGGCAUUCCCUGAUGUUCUUAUAAUAAUUGUCCAGCCUUCAGCUUGGGCUGCAGUUGUUUGUUAUCAAAAGAAACUGCCGAAUUACCACGAGUCUCUCUUCACUGAAUAAAAUCAGAGGAUGGUUGUGGUUGGAGCAUUGCCAGUUUAUGAUGAUUGACACCACUUUCCCUUUGCUACAUAUGGUGUGGAAAGAUGUGCUCUUAACUGGCAAGAAGAGCGGACACAGGAUUUCAUAAAAGCAGACUGAAGUUCUUUUUCUCCUGCUUACAGCUGGUGUAAGUUGUGCCCUUUUAUCCUGUUAUCUGAUCACGGCAGUGCCUUUGGUUUGUUGGCUGGGGAGAAAAAAUACACUUCUGCUAUUAAAAAAAACAAAAGAGCAUUUCAGUACGGUCUGGAAAUGAUGUAGGAGGGGGGUGCUGUUCUUCCCACAAAAAUUCAGAGGUAGGGGAAUAUUUAGAAUAAGGUCACUAAGCUGUGGCCAGGGCUGUGCUACUCAGUGCAGUCGUACUUCUGCCUUGGAGCAAAGGUGGUGUGGUCUGAUUCAGCUGGUUUUCUGCUUCAGAAUUUCAGAAAAGGGUGAGCCUAGUAAGUGUAGUAUUUUGCCUAACAGUUGAAAUAGGAACGCAAUGGCAGUAAGCCCCUAGCCAGAUGCAUAUGGCUAUGGAUGUGUUGGAAGCUGCUGGGUGCUGCUGACCGUGUUGGGGACCGUGUGGGUACAGCAAUGUGAAGAAAGGUGUCAGGGUUCCUUUGUCUCUAAUACUUAGCUGUGAAAUAACGAUCAUUUGCUCACCACAGAGAGGUGUUGUUAAUACUAAUAUUUUUAGAAAUUAGAGCACUUGGAGUGCUGACGAUGGAGGGAAAUGCAUGUGUAAAUAAAGGGAUGAAGCUAAAUUCUUCUGGUUUCAAAGCAAAAAGAGACAAUGAGCUCCUGCAAUAUUUCUUUGUGGAGUAAAAAUCCCAUUUUGGUAUGACAGAGACUUUUGGCUGGCAGAGAAAAGGAUUAGUGGCACCUCACACUGAGAAGGGAGGUAUUUGGAAAUAAUUUGGCCACGCUGCUUUUUGUGACCAUGAGAAGUUGAACUGCUGCUCUGUUAGGAUGCACGCCUGUGGGGAGUGCCAGGCAGAGCCCUGCCACCCCGAGUUAAUCAUGCCGGUUGUGGCUCUGCCAAGAUAACAUCCUGUGGUACACUUGUAAACCCAACUAGCUUCUGCUGAGAGGUGAACAGGAUUAAUGAAACAUAUACCAGUUGUAAUAAAUAGAGUGAUGUAGGUUUAGCCUAGACUAAAAUUGGGCAGUUUUCUGUUAAAGCCUGUGUAAUUACUCAAUGAUGGGGAAAAUCAGCUAAAUGCAGCUGGGAAUCUACUUCAUUGUUAUCAUGUUCCAGACAGUGAUAAUGGUGUACCAGGAUAUCAGAACAAUGCAAUUUGUCAUGGAGCCUUUGCUGCAUGCAGUAAUUUCUUCAAUCUGUCCUGAAUGUAUUUCCUUUCUAUAGUCCAUUGGGUGAGACUCUUUCAAACUUUUUUUUUUUUCCUAAAGAUUCGCGUUUUCAGAGAUGCAACUAGGAGGGAAAAAAUCUGCAGGAUAAUAUCUGUUUGGUUAUGUCUAGGGCUACUGCCAGUUUCACUUUGUGAUAAUGGAAACGGUGUCCAAAUCCCUGAUGACUGACAACAGCGUUUCUGCCAGCAUCCUGCAGAGAUGCAGCGGGUGCUCUGCAUCCCUCACAGCCAGAGAGGGGAGCAGUAUGGGCAAGUAUCACUGGGCAGGGCUGCACCUGGGAUGCUGGCUCCUAGCUGAAGUGAAUGUGAAUGCAUACCUGUGUAUACAUGUAUCUCUUGGUCUGGAGGAACUGCAGCUUGAAAGCAAGCAAAAAUCAGGGACCAGCUGUGAAGUGUUGUUUUUCAAUGCAAAUACACAGCCUCUGAAACACGCUUUUAACAAAUAGGCUUUGCAUUUGAAUUUCUGGAAUCUUGUAGUAUGAAAAAAAAAAACCAAAAAACCCUGCGUUGGGUCAUUAUGAAAGCCUUUAUCCUGUGCAGCACAGGGCCCACACUGCCUUCAUUUGAUGUAUUAAAGUGGUCCCAAUGAGAUGGAGAAAAAUGUGCCUCCCCAGCAGCCAUGGAGGCCCCCACUGGCUCUCCAUUUCCCUGCAGGGCUGCACGUGCUCAGCUCUCCCCAUUCUGUGGCCCUACAAUUCUGUGUGGCACAAAGGCUGCUGUAGUAAUGCCUGUGCCAUUUUCCUUAACGCUCCCAUACAGGUGCGUGUGAUCAGGGAGCACAGCACGGCACUGGCCCAGGCACGCAGUGCUUAGAAGCGAUUUGUUCUUCCUGAGCACUGUGCACCACCAUGGACGUACCGAGCAGUUCUGUCCUGCAGUGCUGCAGGGCCGGAGCCCUCAGUGCAGCCAGCGCAGUGUUUUCAGGUGAGCACAACUUGCAGGCGGUUUGGGUUACCUUAUGUGUGCCACGGGCGUGCCCGGGUGUGGGGUGAUGUGGGCACCGCCUCAGAACACCCUGGAAGAGGAGAAACUGCUUUCCUGUGCGAGCAGUUGUGGCGGCUAUCAAUCGGUCCUCGCCUUCCUUCCAACAGCCAUCUUGGUGGUAAAAAUUUAUCCGAGGAGGAUUUAUCACCCCUCCUUUUCCAGGUGCCGUCGUGCAACCGUGUGAAUCAUUGACCCUCUCCGUGGCGGAUGGGAAGCGCGGGGCUGCCCUCACGGGGACAGCGGCGCACCGCGCGGGUUUAUCA